GUUUUUUCUGCUUGCAGAAAAAAACUGCGCUUUGGUGUUCCGCCUCCACAUGAGGAAGUAGCAAUUUUUCUGAAAGAAAAAUUCGCGGAUUCCGAAUGUGGGGAGAAUUGCGAAAGUUGCGAAGCAACGCAGCAAUUCGUAU
RNAcentral lists this small RNA (142 nucleotides) under uncultured Eubacterium sp. Its description in RNAcentral is "Clostridiales-1 RNA". It matches the Rfam family "Clostridiales-1 RNA", at positions 27 to 159 of the family's 166-position model. Lineage: Bacteria; Bacillati; Bacillota; Clostridia; Eubacteriales; Eubacteriaceae. The record is from RNAcentral.